Long non-coding RNA from Cucumis sativus (cucumber), 1025 nucleotides. RefSeq lists it as uncharacterized. The record is from RefSeq and is a predicted model, not a curated record. Lineage: Eukaryota; Viridiplantae; Streptophyta; Magnoliopsida; Cucurbitales; Cucurbitaceae. The transcript has 2 exons.
UAAAUGGGCUUUUCUUCUCUAACUCCUUUCUACUUUUUCCCUCCCUGCUUCUCUCUCUCUCAUUUCAAAUUUCUUCCCCCACUUCGUCUCUAACUACUGCCUCUCUCUCUACUUUCUCCCUCCUCUCCCCUUCUCUCACACUCUCUUUUCUUCCUCAAAAUAGCCAAUUCACCGCCAUCUUCUUCCCCUACCACUAACAACAUCGGAUUUCUCAACUGUCGAUCGACAUGAAAAUCAUGCCUGCCUACUUGACAAAACCUUUUUCAGUCUACCAAUAAAGGAAAAAGGAUUACUGGUGACAUGAAAGUUGUGCUCGAUGCUCUUUUUCGUAUUCCACUGCGUGUCGUGGUCUUUCCAUUCCUGGUUGGAUGACUACUAUGGACAGAGAUCACAACUACUCCCAGUCUCUUGUGGAUCACAAAUAAGUACCAAAGGAUGCCCCGGGAGAGCUGGAUCACAAAUGCUUCCAAAUUCUUUGUUCAUAGACUAAUUUGAAAUCCUUCCAAUUUUAUGGUUCUAAAAGAGUUGCAGUAGGUAAAUCUUAAUGAUUGGCAGAAAAUUGGUUUGGGAUAUAUUAUUCUCAAGACAGUAUUUGUUAUCAGUUUACUUUCCAUUGGGUAUUUGUUCUUCCUAUGCUUUAUUCUUAUCCCAUCUUUCUCCGUUUUAGUCUCCAUAGGAUGGAUUUCUGUGGUGUAAAUUUAUUCAUCUAGUUUGUUUGAUUUAUGGACGCAUUUUGGUAUGGUAGAGCUUCUGCAUGAGAUCACAAUUGCUAUUACCAAGUGGUUAUUCCAUCAAUCACAGAUUCAGUGUAUUCAAUGAGUUCUCAAAAAAAGUGAAAGGAGAAGCUGACAAGUAUCUUCCCUUUCCUUUAGAAUUAUAAUAUAUUCUUUCAUGUUUAUUUGUUUUAACUUUUCUGCCGUGUUUAGGAUAUCUUCUUGUCAAAUUGAACAUUCAACGUAUUUGUAAUUGUGAUGAUUUUGGAAUUAAUGUUUGGUCAAUUUCUGUACAGAAUCAUUAAUUUUGAA